GCCCGGCUAGCUCAAUCGGUAGAGCGUGAGACUCUUAAGCCUCCCGUUCUCUUACAAACGAUUGGAUUUCGGUAUCUCAAGGUUGUGGGUUCGACCCCCACGUCGGGCU
This 109-nucleotide transfer RNA is filed under the name Delitschia confertaspora ATCC 74209. It matches the Rfam family "tRNA". From Rfam's summary of the family: Transfer RNA (tRNA) molecules are approximately 80 nucleotides in length. The record is from Rfam by way of RNAcentral. Lineage: Eukaryota; Fungi; Ascomycota; Dothideomycetes; Pleosporales; Delitschiaceae.